Tirmania nivea is the source of this 94-nucleotide non-coding RNA. The record is from the annotation of a GenBank genome assembly. Lineage: Eukaryota; Fungi; Ascomycota; Pezizomycetes; Pezizales; Pezizaceae.
GCCCGCUUGGCUUAGUGGUAAAGCGUCGCACUUGUAUAAGCUCUUGUGAGCAUGUGAAAUGCGAAGAUCAAGAGUUCAAUUCUCUUAGUGGGCA